Camellia sinensis is the source of this 3745-nucleotide long non-coding RNA. RefSeq lists it as uncharacterized. The record is from RefSeq and is a predicted model, not a curated record. NCBI's taxonomy places the organism in Eukaryota, Viridiplantae, Streptophyta, Magnoliopsida, Ericales, Theaceae.
CCAAACACUCAAAAAAAAAUAAAAAAUAAAAAAUCCCAACUCUUCAGCCCAAAACCAGAAACCCUAACCUCCUACUCAUCAUCAUCAACAGAUCAAACCUCCACAGACUCCUCCAUGCUCGUUCCAAUCUUCCACAUCAUAUACGGUCCAAACCAUACACGGUUACACUUCCUCUCUCUCUUCCAUCUCCUCUCUCUCUCUCUCUCUCUCUCUCUCUCUCUCUCUCUCCUCUUCUGCCUCCGACGCCACCUUCACCGCCACUGUGACUAUCGUGCCGCCGCCAUCACCUCUACUACCGCCCCCUCUCUCUCUCUUCUCGGCCUAUUGCUUCAGGACAUCGAUUUGUUUCCGGCAGCUUACUUCUCUCUACAUUUUUUUCUCUCCCCAUCUUCUCUUUUCCUCACCAGAUCGGCGACGAUCUCCCCGCCCUUUACUCCUCUUCCAUGGCCGCCGCCGUCUUCACCCUCACAUCCACCGCACACCACCACCACCACCACCACCGUCUUCACCAUAUUCGUGCCAUUCUCGGACGACGGCGAUAUGAGAUAUGAAGGCUUCAAAUCUGCAGGCAUUGUUUCUGGAAGUUUUGAUUCAAGUUUUUUCAUCAAAAUUGGGGAUAAUGGAGUUUCUCAAUCAUCGGCGCUGAGAUCAUUUCUGCUGUGAUAUUUCAUCCCAUCUCGGAAUCUCACCGAUUUGCUGCAUUAAAGCUCUUCACGCCACUCCAUGCAUGGAUCUUUUGGAAGGUCAAACUAAACCCUAAUUAAACCCAACUUUCUUUUUCCCCCUUUAUAUUUUCAUUUGAUUUACUUGUGCUCCUUCAUUAUUUUAUUUAUUUCUGUAAUUGAAAAUUUCGAUAAUCUCCGUUUGUUUCUUGAGAAAAUGCACCAUUAGAAAAUGAAUCAAUAAUUAUUGUUGAUCUGCCAAAAAGAAAUAGUUAGUAGAUUCUUUGGAUGUUUGGAUGUUAGAAAAACACAACCAUAAAUGAUUAAUGUUAUAUAUUUAAGAUUAAAAUCUGAUGAUAGUUGCAGCUGUUCUUCAUUUGUUGGUUUAUCUAGAGGUUGAUGUUUUUCAAUCUGCUUUAUGCAAAGGUUAUCAGUUAGAAAAUCUGGAUUUGGUCCACACACAGUAUCAGUUUAGAAAAUCUGGAUCUGCAGAGGUACUUUCUGUUCUUUACGUUAGUUCCUGCUUCUUUUUUUUUAAUUUAUUUAUUUUUUCAUCCGAGUUACAAAGUGAUUUGAAUCAUAGUUGUCAAAUAUUGAAUCAAAAUCUCCUUUUUGUUGAAUUGUGAAUUGAUUUGGGUUGCAAACAGUAAAGAUUCUGUUUUAAUUUUUGAUACGUAAAAAUAUAUCUAAACAUAUAGAUAUUAAAGAUACACUAUAAAUACGAUAUAAAUAAAUGAAUUGCUUCUUUUAAAUGAUGGACAUGGGUGUAAUAGGGAAGAUGCUUCUGUCUAUGUUUAGUUUCAUAUAUUACGAAAAACAAUCUUUUUAAAUUAAUAACAAUCUUGCUAAGAACUAUUUUUCUAUUUAGUUCACUAUCCAUAGAAAAUCCUAAAUGGUUGAGAAGUGUUGUGUUGGGUUAUGUUUAAUUUGAUAUUUUUCUUAUGAUCAGUAACAAUUAAUUUGAUCUGCCUCUUCCUGUAGGCUUCACAAUGAAAAAAAAAAAGUCUUAUGACCCCGUUUGCUUUCUGCUAUCUGCCAUGCUGUCUGUCAAGUCUGUAGACAUUUUUUUGGACAUCACAUACUUAGCUAUGUGGCACGUAAUCUAGAGCAACUAGAUGUAGUAAGCUCAUUCUUUAUAGGAUACGUGCAACAUGGCUAGGAUUGCUUGAGAGAAUGUAGAUUUGUCCAUAUGGAACCAAAGUUUUCUUGAUUCACCAUCACAGCAACACCUAGCUAAGUCAACUAAUUUGUUAAUGUUAUUCUAUUUUUUGUUUUGUUUUUUUGUUUUAAUUUAUAUUAAGAGGCAAGUGCUGAAUUGUGUGUUAGUGAUGUAAAUCAAAAUCAAAAUAUCUCAGUAAGCUACAUUUGGUGUUGAAAUUCAAAAAAGAAAAGAAAAAACAUAUCAUAGUAUCUAAUAAGGGUUUACCCAUGUUUGGUUGCUCAGAAAAUUGGCCAAAUUCUUUUGAAUUAUGCUUAUUAUAGUAGUAAUCUAUAUAUACCUUUGUUUGGGUUAUGAGAAAAUGGGCUCAAAUAUGAAAACACGAACUUGAUUAUAAAUGGAACUGUUCUAUCAAACUUAAGUACUUGGCUGAUUUUGGAAUUGAAAAACCUGUAAAUGCGUCCCUUGUUUGGCUGCUGAGAAAACAGGGAAAACUUAGGGAAGUUUAAUUUUGAAUGAAUACUAUGUAGAUAAUAGAAAGAAUACAAUCGAGAAAUCAAUGCUUUCAAAUACAAAUUGUUUUCCCAAAUUUUAGGACUUACAUUUUGUCGGGUACCAAUCGAUUUAUGAGUAAAUUUGCAGUUUAUUUAUUUAUUUAUUUAUUUUGGUGAUUUGCAGUUAAUUUGCUAAAACCCUUCGCUUGGUUGCUAAGAAAUGGGUGAAAUAAUAAAAAACAAAUGAGUUGUUGAACUAUGAAAAACAGAACUUGACAUCAAGUGCAGCAAUUCUAUUGAAACAAAUGAGUUGCUGAACUAUGAAAAACAGAACUUGACAUCAAGUGCAAGUUCUCAUUUGUAACCCUUAGUGUUUGGGUUUGCUUGUUUUUGCUCUUUUUAUGAUGGCUGUGUUUUACUUUCAUCAUGUUCCUUUUCUCUGUAUGAGGAUUUCUUGUCCUCCUUUCUUUCUUCUUUAAUAAAAUAAAUUUCGUUGUUGUUUCAAAAAAAAAAAAAAGAACUUGACAUCCAGUGCAGCAAUUCUAUUGAAGUUCACUUGGUUGCAAGAAGAUAUCUAUAUAUCUGACAGCCGUAUUUGAAAGUAACAGUUUAGAGAGAGUCUAGAGAUUUUUAUUACCUAUUUACUUAUGGAUGGAAACUUAUUACAUUUUCUUUAAUGACAGCAUAAGAAAAUAAUUUACAUUCUUGAAAGUUUAUUUGGCUUGGAUUGAGAUCUUCAUCAUAUGCGUUUUAAUCUAUUAUUUGUUAAAUAUGUAAAUCUUAAUUAAGAUUAUAUUGUAAGCAUAGGAUUUUUUUUAUCACUCAAACACUCUAGUGCCUCUAAAUUUCCUUUGACAUGCAGAGUUCAAAAAAUUUUGCUAUUUUGUUUCUGAUAUUUCUAUAUUGGUACUUUUGAAGCAAAUGAUGACGAUGCAUUGCUAUUCUUUGCUUCUGCUAUUGAUGGAUUAACUUUAACUCUAGGGAUGCUACUUUAACAUACAAGGCUGAGGCUUUGGAAUUGCAGAGACAGCCUAGGCAAACUGCAGACUCAGUAUGAUAUGGUCUCUGGUCAGGCUUCAACUUUGAUCCAAGGAAGAAGGGCACAAGUUGCGGCAACAUCUAGUGUGCUUAAGAAUACCAAUGUCAGACUUACGGACACUGUUAAUCAAGUGAUUGAGCUAGUAUUUUCUACAGAUUUGAAUCAAUUUGUGUUCCAGGGGUGGGAUGGGGGUAGGAAAUUUCUAUCUAUAUUCAGUUGUGCUUUGUUGUAGACCCUUUACCGGAUUUGAUGGAGAGUUUUUCUUUUGUUCUAGCAAAGGUCCAGUCGAAAUUUCUUUAUUGAUAUUAUACUGUUGUGCGUAAUUCUUGGGAUUGCUGCUUAUCUGUACAAGUUCCACUCUCUCUCAAUGGAAAGUAGACACUUCAUCACA